This 427-nucleotide ribosomal RNA is filed under the name uncultured bacterium. RNAcentral describes it as "bacterial SSU rRNA". It matches the Rfam family "Bacterial small subunit ribosomal RNA", at positions 64 to 524 of the family's 1533-position model. The record is from RNAcentral.
GAACGAGAACUGGAGCAUCCAUGAGUAAAGUGGCGACCGGUGUGCGUAACACGUGACUAACCUACCCUCGAGUGGGGAAUAACUCCGGGAAACCGGGGCUAAUACCGCAUAACAUCGCAAGAUCAAAGCAGCAAUGCGCUUGAGGAGGGGGUCGCGGCUGAUUAGCUAGUUGGCGGGGUAACGGCCCACCAAGGCGAAGAUCGGUAUCCGGCCUGAGAGGGCGCACGGACACACUGGAACUGAAACACGGUCCAGACUCCUACGGGAGGCAGCAGUGGGGAAUUUUGCGCAAUGGGGGAAACCCUGACGCAGCAACGCCGCGUGGAGGAUGAAGCCCUUUGGGGCGUAAACUCCUUUCGACUCGGACGAUAAUGACGGUACGAGUGGAAGAAGCACCGGCUAACUCUGUGCCAGCAGCCGCGGUAAU